RNAcentral lists this non-coding RNA (759 nucleotides) under Trichomonas vaginalis G3. RNAcentral describes it as "Eukaryotic large subunit ribosomal RNA". It matches the Rfam family "Eukaryotic large subunit ribosomal RNA", at positions 1273 to 2228 of the family's 3401-position model. The record is from Rfam by way of RNAcentral. Lineage: Eukaryota; Parabasalia; Trichomonadida; Trichomonadidae.
AAAGAGUGUGUUAAACUUCACCUGCCGAAUACUAGGGCCCCGAAAAUGAAUGGCGCAUAUAGUACUACCGAUCUCAGACAUCAGUUCUAUUGAACUGAGAGUAGGGGGGAUGUGGACAUUUUUGUGAAGGUGCAAUGUGAGUUGGACUGGAAGAAUGUCUAUUACAGAUCCUAAUUGAAGUAGCGAUUAUCCAGGCUUGUAUCCUGGGGGCUGAUGAGGAGUAGGGUUUCUGGACAACUUAAACAGAUCCAGAGUUAGUCGAUCCUAAUCUCAAUAAUGGGAGAAAGGGAGUACAGUUGAUAUUCUGUAACUGACAACAGUUCGCGGCAACGCAUACUAUUUUUCUCCGCCAAUCUUAUACCGUUGGUAGGGAUCUCUUUCCUACAUGACAGUACUAAUACCCAGGGAAACUGGUCAUCAGGCGAACUGCGGCGUUCUGCUGGCAAAACAUAGCUUCGGUUAUGUCAAUGGCUAUUGGAUUGGUCCAUGAAGCGAAAAAUAGUUUACUGUGUCACUCGUACCGAUAACCGCAUCAGGUCUUCUAGGUAAGUAGCCUAUGGCCAUUGAGGCAUGAUAGUUCAGGGAAUUCGGCCAAUUAGAGCUGUAACUUCGGGAUAAAGCUUGGCUCUGAUGAAAAUCAGAACCGAUUGUUACGCGGAGAGCCCAACUGUUUAAUAAAAACGUAGUGUCGCGCUGUGGUAGUAUAGCCAGUGAACGCGACAUGAAUCCUGCUCAGUGCUGUGUCUGUUAAUAUGGUUC